GACGAAUGCUGGCUGCGUGCUUAACACAUGCAAGUCGAACGGUGAAGGGGAGCUUGCUCCCCGGAUCAGUGGCGAACGGGUGAGUAACACGUGGGCAACCUGCCCCUCACUCUGGGAUAACUCCGGGAAACCGGGGCUAAUACCGGAUACGACCGGGAGCGACAUCGCUCCUGGUGGAAAGAACUUCGGUGAGGGAUGGGCCCGCGGCCUAUCAGCUAGUUGGUGGGGUAACGGCCCACCAAGGCGACGACGGGUAGCCGGCCUGAGAGGGCGACCGGCCACACUGGGACUGAGACACGGCCCAGACUCCUACGGGAGGCAGCAGUGGGGAAUAUUGCGCAAUGGGCGAAAGCCUGACGCAGCGACGCAGCGUGAGGGACGAAGGCCUUCGGGUUGUAAACCUCUUUCAGCGGGGACGAAGCGAAAGUGACGGUACCCGCAGAAGAAGCACCGGCUAACUACGUGCCAGCCGCCGCAGUAA
Molecule: ribosomal RNA, 481 nt
Filed under: uncultured bacterium
Lineage: Bacteria
Description: partial 16S ribosomal RNA
Rfam family: Bacterial small subunit ribosomal RNA
Source: RNAcentral